The sequence is a transfer RNA, 84 nucleotides long. It matches the Rfam family "tRNA". Rfam says of the family: Transfer RNA (tRNA) molecules are approximately 80 nucleotides in length.
GGGGUCGUGGCGGAAUUGGUAGACGCACUAGCUUGAGGUGCUAGCGGGUGCAAACUCGUCCGGGUUCAAGUCCCGGCGUCCCCA